RNAcentral lists this ribosomal RNA (440 nucleotides) under uncultured bacterium. RNAcentral's name for it is "partial 16S ribosomal RNA". It matches the Rfam family "Bacterial small subunit ribosomal RNA", at positions 338 to 795 of the family's 1533-position model. The record is from RNAcentral.
CCUACGGGUGGCAGCAGUGGGGGAUAUUGCACAAUGAGGGAAACCCUGAUGCAGCGACGCCGCGUGAGUGAAGAAGUAUUUCGGUAUGUAAAGCUCUAUCAGCAGGGAAGAACAUGACAGUACCUGACCAAGAAGCCCCUGCUAACUACGUGCCAGCAGCCGCUGUAAUACGUAGGGGGCAAGCGUUAUCCGGUUUUUCUGGGUGUAAAGGGAGCGUAAACGGUUUUGUAAGUCUGGAGUGAAAGCCCGGGGGCCAACCCCGGGACUGCUUUGGAAACUGUGUAACUGGAGUACAGGAGGGGCAGGCGGAAUUGCUGGUGAAGCGGUGAAAUGCGUAGAUAUCAGGAGGAACACCGGAGGCGAAGGCGGCCUGCUGGACUGAAACUGACGUUGAGGCUCGAAAGCGUGGGGAGCAAACAGGAUUAGAUACCCCGGUAGUC